CCUCGAGCUGCACCGGGCCAAGGCCUCGCGUCGUGACCACGGUGGCAAUCGCAAGAACCGCCAAAAUGCUGGCGGCCCAGCAUUCGAUAGUGGCGAAGAAUACAGCUCUUCCAGCUCCAUCGAGGAGCAAACUUCCAAGAAGAAUCUCUUCAAGAAGCCAAAAAGCAAGAGAAACUCCAUUGUUGUGACUGCCACUAUUCACUCGGAGCCACGCAACUCUGACGACGAAAAUCAGGAGAAGGGUGACGCUGGAAAGUCGAGUGGAUCCUCCGCUG
This is a long non-coding RNA of Drosophila guanche, 275 nucleotides long. RefSeq lists it as uncharacterized. The record is from RefSeq and is a predicted model, not a curated record. Lineage: Eukaryota; Metazoa; Arthropoda; Insecta; Diptera; Drosophilidae. The transcript is spliced from 3 exons.